AUGUUCAAGUACUGCUCUCCGUGGGAUCACCAAAGUUAAGCAACGUGGAGCCUGGUUAGUACCUAGACAGUUGACCACCUGGGAAUACCAGGUGCUGUAAG
This is a non-coding RNA of Acanthosepion pharaonis, 101 nucleotides long. The record is from the annotation of a GenBank genome assembly. Lineage: Eukaryota; Metazoa; Mollusca; Cephalopoda; Sepiida; Sepiidae.